CAUUACCUGAGUGCGGGCCCCUCGGGGCCCAACCUCCCACCCGUGUUGCCCGAACCUAUGUUGCCUCGGCGGGCCCCGCGCCCGCCGACGGCCCCCCUGAACGCUGUCUGAAGUUGCAGUCUGAGACCUAUAACGAAAUUAGUUAAAACUUUCAACAACGGAUCUCUUGGUUCCGGCAUCGAUGAAGAACGCAGCGAAAUGCGAUAACUAAUGUGAAUUGCAGAAUUCAGUGAAUCAUCGAGUCUUUGAACGCACAUUGCGCCCUCUGGUAUUCCGGAGGGCAUGCCUGUCCGAGCGUCAUUGCUGCCCUCAAGCCCGGCUUGUGUGUUGGGCCCCGUCCCCCCCGCCGGGGGGACGGGCCCGAAAGGCAGCGGCGGCACCGCGUCCGGUCCUCGAGCGUAUGGGGCUUCGUCACCCGCUCUAGUAGGCCCGGCCGGCGCCAGCCGACCCCCAACCUUUAAUUAUCUCAGGUUGACCUCGGAUCAGGUAGGGAUACCCGCUGAACUUAA
Molecule: ribosomal RNA, 509 nt
Filed under: Penicillium citrinum
Lineage: Eukaryota; Fungi; Ascomycota; Eurotiomycetes; Eurotiales; Aspergillaceae
Description: eukaryotic LSU rRNA
Rfam family: 5.8S ribosomal RNA (bases 147-300)
Source: RNAcentral